This 329-nucleotide unclassified non-coding RNA is filed under the name Zanthoxylum riedelianum (pricklywood). RNAcentral describes it as "partial external transcribed spacer". The record is from RNAcentral. Lineage: Eukaryota; Viridiplantae; Streptophyta; Magnoliopsida; Sapindales; Rutaceae.
UUUCGGUAUCCUGUGUUGCUUACCUGUGGGAAGGAAUUUGAUGGUUUCGGUGUCCCCAUACGCCUUGCGCCCUACGGGGUGUUGGGUGGACUUGAGGCAGGCUCCAUGUUGCCCCGUUGUUGAGUGUGUUGAUGCUUGGCCGCUGUGGCCCAUGGGGUCUUGGCUCUUGCUCUCGGAUGUUAGACUAUUGUGUGUGUGUUGGUGUGGGGUCUCGACCUUUUAUCGUCUAAGCUAACACACAUUGUCCCUUUACAUGAACGACCGCCACGCCCGUCUUGAUCGUCUGACCGAGCCUUGUCGUGGGGCUCUGGGAGGACGUCUCAUGCGGG